GAUUCAACAUGGAACGAGUGGCGGACGGGUGAGUAACACGUGGGUAACCUGCCCUUAAGUGGGGGAUAACAUUUGGAAACAGAUGCUAAUACCGCAUAGAUCCAAGAACCGCAKGGUUCUUGGCUGAAAGAUGGCGUAAGCUAUCGCUUUUGGAUGGACCCGCGGCGUAUUAGCUAGUUGGUGAGGUAAUGGCUCACCAAGGCGAUGAUACGUAGCCGAACUGAGAGGUUGAUCGGCCACAUUGGGACUGAGACACGGCCCAAACUCCUACGGGAGGCAGCAGUAGGGAAUCUUCCACAAUGGACGCAAGUCUGAUGGAGCAACGCCGCGUGAGUGAAGAAGGCUUUCGGGUCGUAAAACUCUGUUGUUGGAGAAGAAUGGUCGGCAGAGUAACUGUUGYCGGCGUGACGGUAUCCAACCAGAAAGCCACGGCUAACUACGUGCCAGCAGCCGCGGUAAUACGUAGGUGGCAAGCGUUAUCCGGAUUUAUUGGGCGUAAAGCGAGCGCAGGCGGUUUUUUAAGUCUGAUGUGAAAGCCCUCGGCUUAACCGAGGAAGCGCAUCGGAAACUGGGAAACUUGAGUGCAGAAGAGGACAGUGGAACUCCAUGUGUAGCGGUGAAAUGCGUAGAUAUAUGGAAGAACACCAGUGGCGAAGGCGGCUGUCUGGUCUGUAACUGACGCUGAGGCUCGAAAGCAUGGGUAGCGAACAGGAUUAGAUACCCUGGUAGUCCAUGCCGUAAACGAUGAAUGCUAGGUGUUGGAGGGUUUCCGCCCUUCAGUGCCGCAGCUAACGCAUUAAGCAUUCCGCCUGGGGAGUACGACCGCAAGGUUGAAACUCAAAGGAAUUGACGGGGGCCCGCACAAGCGGUGGAGCAUGUGGUUUAAUUCGAAGCAACGCGAAGAACCUUACCAGGUCUUGACAUCUUUUGAUCACCUGAGAGAUCAGGUUUCCCCUUCGGGGGCAAAAUGACAGGUGGUGCAUGGUUGUCGUCAGCUCGUGUCGUGAGAUGUUGGGUUAAGUCCCGCAACGAGCGCAACC
RNAcentral lists this ribosomal RNA (1040 nucleotides) under Lacticaseibacillus paracasei. RNAcentral describes it as "bacterial SSU rRNA". It matches the Rfam family "Bacterial small subunit ribosomal RNA", at positions 77 to 1103 of the family's 1533-position model. The record is from RNAcentral. Lineage: Bacteria; Bacillati; Bacillota; Bacilli; Lactobacillales; Lactobacillaceae.